Long non-coding RNA from Homo sapiens (human), 2962 nucleotides. RefSeq lists it as uncharacterized. NCBI's taxonomy places the organism in Eukaryota, Metazoa, Chordata, Mammalia, Primates, Hominidae. The record is from RefSeq and is a predicted model, not a curated record. The transcript is spliced from 6 exons.
CAAGUAAGAAUUCGGAACUGCUGUCAGAAAUUACAUUAUAAUAAUUAUCAUCAAUAUCAUUUUCUUUAUCACUAUUAUCAUUGUGAUCAUUGUUGUCAGAAUUACAAAUACACCUCUGUUCCAUAAUUUUGCUAAAUGGAAAUUUAAAAUACAUACACUUACAGAGUCAAGCAUAUUUUUCAUGUACAAAGAGGAUUAAUGAAGAGAUGAUGGGGAAGAAAGUGUAAAUCUAUAGAAUGUAUUCAUGUUUUGAGGUAUAAUGUGAAAAUUUAGCUUUGAAAGAAAGCAAUAAAAUUUGCGUUUUGUAAUUUAUACCUAGUUCGACACCCUCUGGGCCAGGACAAGGAACAGAUGCUGUCAAUACAAAUUGCAUCACUUUCAAAUUUAACAUAUUAUCAUCACAGAAUGCUACUUUUUUCAGUCUGAACUUGUAUCCUAGGUAUAUGAAAUAUUAUCUGUUCAUAGAACUUUUUCCCAAUUUGAAUAUAAAUGUACACCAGACCUGUGAUGGAUGAUUAUAGACCUCAUUUUCCUUCUCAGAAAAAAAUAAUUAGUAUUUCUCUUUUGCAAAAAGCAGGAACCAUUCAAAAUUUUACCUAAGAUAGGCAAACUUGUGAUUUAUAAUGUAUAUGUGUUUGUGUAUAAUAUUGAAUUACAGUAGAUUAAGCAGAGUAGUGUGCAUGCAUUUUACACAGCAUUUAAUUGAUAUUCAAAAUAUUUCUUAGAUGAAUGAAUGAAUGCACUCUGAAAGCAUUAGUCUACUUCAGCAGUUUUUGUUAGCAAUUAAGAGAUUGUUCUCCCUGAAGACAUUUAUACUUAAUGUAUAUUUUAAAAAUAGUAUGACACAUUUUUUCAAAUGAAAAGUGUUGUAUGUAUGUGUACAAUUACUUUUUUUAUUAGCUUCCUAAAUAUGAUUCUGCCCAAUAUUUAAUUGCUUCAGUCUUGUAUUCAAAACAUGAAUGAAACAUUCUAAUUUGACAUCCAGGUUUUCAAAAUAACUAAUAGGAAACUUGAAGUAAAGCAACACCUCUCUAAGCUUUGAAUCAUUUUCUACCAAUACUAUUUUCUUAAAAUUAUGUAUUUUAAAAAAUUAAUGGACAGGUAAACAUGGAGCUAAAAUGUUCCCUUUGGAUUUGCAGGCAAUUAUUUCGACUUGCAUCAUGAGAAAAUAAAACACCUUCACACAUGAAAAUGAUUAAGUUUGAAACAAUUGAAAUUUAUGAAGUAUACAUUAAAAAUAAAUGUUCUCGUUCCUCAGAGAACAAAACAUUUUGUUGGUUCCUGGAGUUUCUCUUUCUAAAUUAAGGUUGCUACCAUUUAACUGUCUCAUUUAUUCACUUACAUAUGGGAUUCUUUGAGAAAUCUAAGAUUCACUGAUGUCUUAACAAAUACAGGUGGGUACAUUAUGGAUGAGCGCACAUGUUGAAAUCUAAUAUAGUUUCACUUGGAACUUAUAUUAGAUUCAUUUAGUUUUGGAUACCAAAAAAUAAAUCUUUUAAUUCAUGUCUCUUCAUUUCCCCCAUAUAUUUGCCCCUUCUAUAUAUGACUGACAUAGAAGAUGAAGCUGAAAAUUUACAAUUUCAAGAUAUUCUUAGAAGAUAUCUGGUCUACUUUUUUGAGCUGUUAACAUUUUUCUGAGGUAUAGAACCUUGGGGAAACUUCCACAGCAUAGAAGACAGGAAAACAUGCACAUCAUAUUGUUUGCACUAAGAAGUAAAUUGGGACUAGUCAGCAUGCAUCAAUAGGAUAGUUAACUUUUCUUGGGAAGAAAUGAAGUGGAAAUAUGGUUGCUGCCUAAGAAGUAAUAAUAGGAGAUACAGGAAGCAGUUUGAAAUGGAAUAGAAACAACUUGUGAUAGAGGACAGAAGCCAUAUCAGAAGUCACGGAAUUAAUUAUGUGAGUCUGGGAUCAGUGAGAGAUGAAAAUUGAGAAGAAAGAAAACUGUAAGACUCUGUGACUUGAAAAAUCCAGGAGAGACAGGCAACUGAAUUGCUACAUUGUAUUUUCUCUUAAACCCAAGAAAAUUCCCUGUGUUAGAACAACUUGAAUGAAAAGAAGAAUAAACAGGUGUCCAACAAUAACAUUUCCAAGAUAGGAAGAAAGCGAGGGUUCAAAACGGAGUUAUAUAUAAUGUGUCUCACCAAUCACUGAAGGGGACAAGUCAUCCAUGUAAGAAAUUAACUCAACCCAGGGGAGAGGACAUAUUCCUGUAAUCUCAGCUACUCAGGAACCUGAAGCAGGAGGAUAAUUUCAGGGAAGGAAUUGAGACCAGCAUGGGCAACAUAGCAAGAUGUAAAAAAACAAAACAAAACACAAUUUUUUAAUGUUAACUAGGUGUGGUGGCAUGUUCCUGUAGUCCCAGCUACUCAGGAGCAUGAGGCAGGAAGCUUGCUUGAGCCCCAAAGUUCAAGGGUGCAGUGAGCUAUGGUUGCACUUCUGCAUUCCAGCCUAGGUGACAGAGAAAGAUCCCCUCUCAAAAAACUUAAUUUAUUGUCAAAUAUACUUUUGCAUAACUGUGUGCAAAUUAUGUAGCUGUAAAAAUAAGGCUAUGAUGUAAUUAUGCCCUGAAACUGUUUGUUUGUUGCUGUUUUUGGUUUUGUUUUAUUUUUGCUUGGUAUUGGUGAUGUAUGGAGUAAUGUGUUCACUGGUCUUUGAGGUAUAAUCAUACCUUUGCCAGAUGGAGAACAGUUGAGCAGUAUAUUCCAGGAAUAGGGAAUAUUAUGUCUAAAACAUUACAUAGUCAAGGAAUUACAGCAAAGUUUUGUUUAUAAAGAGGAGAGGAAAAAAAAAGAAUGAUACAAGGAAUAUAAAUGGGGCGGGCUCUGUAUGUACGCAUUUUUAGAAUAUAAAAUGUUUUUCUAUAGAAAAUAAAGAAACCAUGAUAUGAAUAUAAUAUGUGGGGAGCAUAAACAUGUCUGCAGUUUAUUAAUAUUUAUUUUUAAUAAACAUUUCUUUGAAUGCA